Small nucleolar RNA from Lutra lutra (Eurasian river otter), 103 nucleotides. RefSeq annotates it as small nucleolar RNA SNORA1. Lineage: Eukaryota; Metazoa; Chordata; Mammalia; Carnivora; Mustelidae. The record is from RefSeq and is a predicted model, not a curated record. The transcript has a single exon.
UACCCUAUAUAUAAAAAUAACUGUAUGUGGCUAUAUUGAGAUACGGGUUAUGCUUCCAUCAUAGCAAGCUUUUGCAGUGGUGACAAUGAGGCCUGUAACAUUU